This 253-nucleotide ribosomal RNA is filed under the name uncultured bacterium. RNAcentral describes it as "partial 16S ribosomal RNA". It matches the Rfam family "Bacterial small subunit ribosomal RNA", at positions 524 to 776 of the family's 1533-position model. The record is from RNAcentral.
UACGUAGGGUGCAAGCGUUAAUCGGAAUUACUGGGCGUAAAGGGUGCGUAGGCGGUCGUGCAAGUCGGAUGUGAAAUCUCAGGGCUCAACCCUGAAACUGCAUUCGAUACUGCGCGGCUAGAGUGCUGGAGGGGAGACUGGAAUUUACGGUGUAGCAGUGAAAUGCGUAGAUAUCGUAAGGAAGACCAGUGGCGAAGGCGAGUCUCUGGACAGCAACUGACGCUGAGGCACGAAGGCCAGGGGAGCAAACGGG